AUUCACCAUGGCAACGGGAACAAACACCUGAGUUUCGUCUGAUCUCGGAAGCUAAGCAGGGUCGGGCCUGGUUAGUACUUGGAUGGGAGACCGCCUGGGAAUACCAGGUGCUGUAAGUU
Molecule: ribosomal RNA, 119 nt
Filed under: Oryzias melastigma (Indian medaka)
Lineage: Eukaryota; Metazoa; Chordata; Actinopteri; Beloniformes; Adrianichthyidae
Source: RNAcentral